GCGCGGGGGCUCGGUGCGGGGCUCGGUCUUCGGGGUCUUGGCAAUCGCCGUCGGGGCGGCGGGGCUGUGCCGGUCUCGGCCCGCCUGCCCCCGCGCACUGCCCGGGACGAGGGAAACAGGAAUGCGUGGCUACCUGAGGACUCUGACAUUUCCUUUUCCUGGAAUGAGAUUUCAGGUGUUUCGGGCGUUCCCCCCUCCGUCCCGCAGGAGGUGCCUGUCGGGCCCCAGCAGCCCAGCAGCCCAGGAGCAGAGCAGAUCUCCCAUCUCUUGUUCCCGCAACACACGCGCACACGCCACCUAAAACCGGAGAAUCUGUAGCAGAUUUUGACCACUUCCCUCCAGAUGGUCUGAAGAAAAAGUCCCCCAGCAGCAGAGACACAGGCCAAGGGAGAAGCAGGCUCCUUGCGGGGACCCCGGGGUCACGCCCUGGGACCAAGGUGGACACUCAACCCCUGAGCCACCCAGGUGCCCUGGAUGUUGAGCUUUGAUACCUGGCAACCACCUUCCUAUCCUGGAGCCUCAGCCUAAGCAGAGAGGACAAAGGUCAGUGGGUCCCUUGAGCUGAAGCUGCAGGAUAGGAAGGUGACCAACAGGUACCAAAGCUCCAGAACUGGCUGGCUGACACCAUCCUGGGUGGUCAGGAAGGGGGGAGAAGUCAGUGGAAGGAGCACUCGGGGAGGUGGAGAAUCGGGAUUCUGGGCCACGGAGGAGAUCAGUGUGUCGGAGGAAGCAGCCGCGCACACAGCAGGCGGCCAGCAAGCCUUCUGCCAGAGUGUGAAGAUUCCAGACGCUGAUGUUCUGGUACCAGGCCCUAAUGUUGGUGUAGGACAGUAGCGUCUUCAGACACAUCCUCUACUUUGAUGAAGACCGGGCCCCGCCCCCAGAGGCUCCCGGUGGGGGAGCACACGGGUCCAUCGCCUGCUGAGAUUUUUGUUUUAAAAGCUAGAGAAAUUAAUCAAAAAACAGAUGUAAAAUACAAGCCUAUUUUUUUUUAUCCGAUUCAGAAAAUCCUAUUCGCAAAGUCACUGUGCCUAACCACUAGGGAUGCUUCCCAGUAUCCUUCUUGGUUGCUCUGUGCCUCUCCUCGUGGAAGGUACCAGACAGCGCUUGGGGCUGCGACCCACCCUGAGUCGCCCUGGAGCACGGGGUGCACGCCGGAUGUCCGGCAACCGAAGUCAGCUCGCGUGGGAAUUCUGGUUGCCCUACGGACGUUUUUGUCUGUCUGUCCGUUGGGUUGGCAAUCCAGAGAUUUCACAGAAAAUCCAGCUUUUCCUGAAAAGCGGAAAGUUCCUCCCAAGGCAUUUGAGCCCCUGCUCCGUGUCAGGGCCACCCGAUGGCCCUCGCCGCCUCGCUGGGGGAGACCCCGGCCUGGGCCGUGGGGUCGGCGUGGAGCGGCCGUCCGGGGCCCCAGACGUUCUCACUUCCCGUCAGUCCAAGGCUGAGGUCCUGAGAUGCACGCGGCUACUUUGACGAAUAUGAAGGCUCACGUACGCACGAGCUCGCAAGUGUUCCUGGUGAGUGUCGUACCGGUGUUUUGCCACUUUCUCUUGGUCUCAGCAGAUAGAGAAGUAAAAGUGCGACUCUCUCUCUUUUUUAUGUUCAAGAGGGGCUGCCUCCUCAUGGCCAGGUUAGAGGCCUGCGGCCCUGUAAGAGCUCUCCUCCUCAGACUCUGCUUCACGGACGCGCCCCCCAAAAGAAGGUCAAAAUAUGGUGUAUCCCGGCUCUUUUUUAAAAUGACAGCUACGAGUUUGCAUUCUAAACUGAUGCUGUUGGCAAAGGGUAAUAUCCUGUGUUCUGCAAAAAUUGACAUUUUCGAAUAAAGCCAUGACGUCACUUAUUAAAAUGUAUCCAAUGGGAUCCAAAUACCACAGCAAGCAGAUACCUAUCAUCGUUCACUUAAAAAAUACACGAAUAAGCUCUUUCUUUAUGCUGGCGGGUUUUACAUGUCUUUUUUUUGUUGUUGUUGUUGUUGUUGUUUGUUUGUUUUUUCUCUAUUUGUAUUUAUAUAGCCAU
Long non-coding RNA from Nyctereutes procyonoides (raccoon dog), 2013 nucleotides. RefSeq lists it as uncharacterized. The record is from RefSeq and is a predicted model, not a curated record. The transcript has 4 exons. NCBI's taxonomy places the organism in Eukaryota, Metazoa, Chordata, Mammalia, Carnivora, Canidae.